This 643-nucleotide ribosomal RNA is filed under the name uncultured Actinomycetes bacterium. Its description in RNAcentral is "bacterial SSU rRNA". It matches the Rfam family "Bacterial small subunit ribosomal RNA", at positions 232 to 885 of the family's 1533-position model. Lineage: Bacteria; Bacillati; Actinomycetota; Actinomycetes. The record is from RNAcentral.
CGCGGCCUAUCAGCUUGUUGGUGGGGUGAUGGCCUACCAAGGCGACGACGGGUAGCCGGCCUGAGAGGGCGACCGGCCACACUGGGACUGAGACACGGCCCAGACUCCUACGGGAGGCAGCAGUGGGGAAUAUUGCACAAUGGGCGGAAGCCUGAUGCAGCGACGCCGCGUGAGGGAUGACGGCCUUCGGGUUGUAAACCUCUUUCAGCAGGGACGAAGCGUAAGUGACGGUACCUGCAGAAGAAGCGCCGGCCAACUACGUGCCAGCAGCCGCGGUAAGACGUAGGGCGCGAGCGUUGUCCGGAUUUAUUGGGCGUAAAGAGCUCGUAGGCGGCUUGUCGCGUCGACUGUGAAAUCCCGUGGCUCAACUGCGGGUCUGCAGUCGAUACGGGCAGGCUAGAGUUCGGUAGGGGAGGCUGGAAUUCCUGGUGUAGCGGUGAAAUGCGCAGAUAUCAGGAGGAACACCGGUGGCGAAGGCGGGUCUCUGGGCCGAUACUGACGCUGAGGAGCGAAAGCGUGGGGAGCGAACAGGAUUAGAUACCCUGGUAGUCCACGCUGUAAACGUUGGGCGCUAGGUGUGGGGGGCCGCUCCGGUUCUCUGUGCCGCAGCUAACGCAUUAAGCGCCCCGCCUGGGGAGUACGG